AGAGUUUGAUCCUGGCUCAGAUUGAACGCUGGCGGCAUGCCUAACACAUGCAAGUCGAACGGUAGCAGGGCCUUCGGGUGCUGACGAGUGGCGGACGGGUGAGUAAUGCGUAGGAAUCUGUCUUUUAGUGGGGGACGAACCCAGGGAAACUUGGGCUAAUACCGCAUGAGCCCUGAGGGGGAAAGCGGGGGAGUCUUCGGACCUCGCGCUAAGAGAAGAGCCUACGUCUGAUUAGCUAGUUGGUAGGGUAAAGGCCUACCAGGGCGACGAUCAGUAGCUGGUCUGAGAGGACGACCAGCCACACUGGGACUGAGACACGGCCCAGACUCCUACGGGAGGCGAC
This 343-nucleotide ribosomal RNA is filed under the name uncultured prokaryote. RNAcentral's name for it is "bacterial SSU rRNA". It matches the Rfam family "Bacterial small subunit ribosomal RNA", at positions 8 to 352 of the family's 1533-position model. The record is from RNAcentral.